AUGAACAGGAGCGUCUGCCAUCACCUGCUCGCCCAGUGCAGAUCCCUGCGAGAGCUCGAGAGAAUCCACGCCCGGGCCCUUGUCAAUGGCCUCCAUCCCAGUAACCAGUCCAUCUCGUGCAAAAUCUUCCGGUGCUACGCCGAUUUCGGCCGACCCGCCGAGGCGCGCCGGCUGUUCGGCGAGAUCCCCUGCCCGGACCUCGUCUCCUUCACCAGCCUCAUGUCGCUCCACCUCCAGCUGAGCCAGCACCGCGAGGCCAUGUCCGCGUUCUCGCGCGCCGUCGCCUCCGGCCACCGCCCCGAUGGCUUUGCGGUCGUCGGCGCCCUCUCGGCGUCCGGCGGGGCUGGCGAUCUGCGCGCUGGUUCAGGGGUGCAUGGGCUCAUUUUCCGUUGCGGGUUGGGCUCUGAGCUGGUCGUCGGCAACGCUCUGGUCGAUAUGUAUUGCCGGUGCGGGAGGUUCGAGGGUGCGCUAGGGGUGUUCGACGAAAUGGCGGUGAAAGACGAGGUCACCUGGGGCAGCAUGCUGCAUGGGUAUAUGAAGUGUGUUGGUGUGGAUGCGGCGCUGUCCUUCUUUGACCGGAUGCCGGUGAAGAGCACGGUUUCCUGGACAGCGUUGGUGACUGGCCAUGUUCAGGCCAAGCAGCCCAUCCGGGCUCUAGAAAUUUUUGGUAGGAUGGUGCUGGAGGGUCACCGUCCUACUCAUGUCACAAUUGUAGGUGUACUGUCUGCCUGCGCUGACAUUGGCUCUCUAGAUCUUGGGCGUGUCAUUCAUGGGUAUGGAAGUAAGUUCAAUAUCAGCACAAAUAUUAUUGUUAGCAAUGCUCUGAUGGACAUGUAUGCAAAGAGUGGAAGUAUAGAGAUGGCUUUUGCCGUGUUCGAAGAAGUGCCGUUGAAGGACGCAUUCACAUGGACAACCAUGAUCUCGAGCUUCACUGUCCAGGGUGAUGGGAUAAAAGCUCUUGAGCUCUUCGAGGACAUGCUAAGGUCUGGGGUUGUUCCAAAUAGUGUGACCUUUGUUUCAGUUUUGUCAGCCUGCAGCCAUGCUGGGUUAAUACAGCAAGGCAGAGAGUUAUUUGACAAAAUGCGUAGGAUCUACAACAUUAAACCACAGCUUGAGCACUAUGGAUGCAUUGUUGAUUUGUUAGGACGGGGUGGGCUAUUAGAGGAAGCAGAAGCCCUGAUAUAUGAUAUGGAUGUGGAACCUGAUACUGUUAUAUGGAGGUCACUUCUUAGUGCAUGCCUUGUUCAUGGCAAUGAUAGAUUGGCUGAGACUGCCGGGCAGGAAAUUAUAAAGAGAGAACCAGGGGAUGAUGGGGUUUAUGUGCUUCUUUGGAAUAUCUAUGCCUCAUCAGAUAGGUGGAAAGAAGCUCUGGAUAUAAGGAAACAAAUGUUGACAAGGAAUAUCUUCAAAAAACCAGGGUGUAGUUGGAUUGAAGUCGAUGGUGGUGUCCAUGAAUUCUUGGUACAGGACAAGGCGCAUGAUGCUCGAAGGGAAAUUUAUGACACCUUGGAAGGAAUUGAUAGGCAGUUAAAGAUGGAUCUUAGAUCAUCUGCACUGGAAGAAAACUCAUUAAUCUGUGUGGAUGAGGAACUCUUAUUCUAA
Molecule: ribosomal RNA, 1602 nt
Filed under: Triticum aestivum (bread wheat)
Lineage: Eukaryota; Viridiplantae; Streptophyta; Magnoliopsida; Poales; Poaceae
Description: partial small subunit ribosomal RNA
Source: RNAcentral